This is a non-coding RNA of Brachypodium distachyon (stiff brome), 141 nucleotides long. The record is from Rfam. NCBI's taxonomy places the organism in Eukaryota, Viridiplantae, Streptophyta, Magnoliopsida, Poales, Poaceae.
GAUGUAUUCCUCCGUCCAACAGAAGAUGUCUCAACUUUGACUAAAUUUAAAUUUGAAUGUAUCUAUACACUAAGUCAUGUCUAGAUACAUCUAAAUUUUGACAAACUUGAGACAUCUUUUGCUGGACGAAUGGAGUACAUU